CCCUUAUCAAGCCCUCCCGUUCCUAGGGGGAAGCAGUGGACCAUGGCGUAUUCCAGAGACAGGGUAACGAAGGUUUAGUGAAUGGGGGGAUUAUGUCUGCCAAUCAGAGGGUUCGGAUGGGAGGCCUGGGUGUCAGGGAAACAAUGUCUAAUCCCUCCUAAGCAGUCUCCUCGGCAGCAGAGGGUGCUGGGUGAAAUCAGGAUGAAGGGACAACCGGAGGAGCCAGACACAACAGUAGAGAGGUGAAUAAGCCAGGGGAACACUACAGCAACUGUAUCAACAUUUUGAUGCUGUUUCUGGACAAGAGGAGAGCAUGGAUUUUUGUUUAACUUGCUUAUGAAAAAAACACAUUUAGUGACUGUAAAGUGCUCUCCAUGGUGCUGAAAGGACUUAGCACUGCAGCAAUAAGCACAGAAAUACAGCCACACAAGGAACACAU
Molecule: long non-coding RNA, 439 nt
Organism: Micropterus dolomieu (smallmouth bass)
Lineage: Eukaryota; Metazoa; Chordata; Actinopteri; Centrarchiformes; Centrarchidae
Exons: 2
Source: RefSeq, a predicted model, not a curated record